Xenia sp. Carnegie-2017 is the source of this 361-nucleotide long non-coding RNA. RefSeq lists it as uncharacterized. Lineage: Eukaryota; Metazoa; Cnidaria; Anthozoa; Malacalcyonacea; Xeniidae. The transcript has 3 exons. The record is from RefSeq and is a predicted model, not a curated record.
AAUUUGACUUCGUGCGUUUGAAUUGGUAGGUUUGACUUGGUAAGUUUGACUUGGUAAGUUUGACUUUGUAGGUUUGACUUGGUAAGUUUGACUCGUUAAGUUUGACUUGGUAAGUUUGACUUGGUAAGUUUGACUUGUUAAGUUUGACUCGUUAAGUUUGACUCUUAAGUUUGACUGGGUAAGUUUGACUUGGUAAGUUUGACUUGGUAAGUUUGACUUGGUAGGUUUGACUUUGUAGGUUUGACUUGGUAAGUUUGACUGGUAGUUACAGCUGACUUAGACAUUAUUUUACUAUGUUUUUUUCCCUCGUUACAUGCUUCAAAUGACUAAUUUCAAUUUUCUAUGUCGUAUUCUCUAUUUU